AUUGAACGCUGGCGGCAGGCCUAACACAUGCAAGUCGAGCGGAUGAAGGGAGCUUGCUCCUGGAUUCAGCGGCGGACGGGUGAGUAAUGCCUAGGAAUCUGCCUGGUAGUGGGGGAUAACGUCCGGAAACGGGCGCUAAUACCGCAUACGUCCUGAGGGAGAAAGUGGGGGAUCUUCGGACCUCACGCUAUCAGAUGAGCCUAGGUCGGAUUAGCUAGUUGGUGGGGUAAAGGCCUACCAAGGCGACGAUCCGUAACUGGUCUGAGAGGAUGAUCAGUCACACUGGAACUGGGACACGGUCCAUACUCCUACGGGAGGCAGCAGUGGGGAAUAUUGGACAAUGGGCGAAAGCCUGAUCCAGCCAUGCCGCGUGUGUGAAGAAGGUCUUCGGAUUGUAAAGCACUUUAAGUUGGGAGGAAGGGCAGUAAGUUAAUACCUUGCUGUUUUGACGUUACCAACAGAAUAAGCACCGGCUAACUUCGUG
RNAcentral lists this ribosomal RNA (484 nucleotides) under uncultured bacterium. RNAcentral's name for it is "partial 16S ribosomal RNA". It matches the Rfam family "Bacterial small subunit ribosomal RNA", at positions 30 to 507 of the family's 1533-position model. The record is from RNAcentral.